UGUGUUUUCACAGAGGAAGUCUAUGAUUAUAGAAAUUAUGUGAAUUCAGAUUGUUGGAGUGAAAUUUGUUAUUCCUAGUGAUGCAUGGAAAUUAUUGUAUUUUGAGCGGAAUUUUGAGAAUGCAAGGUUAUACACUGUUAUUAUCAGUUGAUGAAAGAGUAUUGUUAUUGAGAGAAAGCAUCGUAAUAUUUCUUGGUGUUUUAGUGGUUCGAAAU
RNAcentral lists this long non-coding RNA (215 nucleotides) under Physcomitrium patens. RNAcentral describes it as "long non-coding RNA (PPAT_LNC008551)". The record is from RNAcentral. Lineage: Eukaryota; Viridiplantae; Streptophyta; Bryopsida; Funariales; Funariaceae.